This 900-nucleotide long non-coding RNA is filed under the name Homo sapiens (human). Its description in RNAcentral is "SMIM2 antisense RNA 1, transcript variant 2 (SMIM2-AS1)". Lineage: Eukaryota; Metazoa; Chordata; Mammalia; Primates; Hominidae. The record is from RNAcentral.
CAGGUGGCCUGCAGUGCCAAGCUGUUUCCCUGCCAGCCUCCCAGUCUGGCCCUGACUCUCCAAUGUGUCACAGAAUAAAGAAAAAGACUGGGAGAGAGAUGGGAGCUGAUAGACCAGAGGAGACCAAAGACUGAAACUGAAGACUAAACCAUGGAAAUUGGGAACAAGCACUUACUCGCUUAGAGGGUGAAAAAAGUGAAUUUGCCUACAGGGCCAAUUUGGAAGCACCUCUCCCUGGAAGCCAGUCAAUGAAGAGCCAUUGGAGGAUUUUAAAUAAGGAACCGAAAAAUGGAGUCUGAAAAUAGAGGCGCAGAGACCGGUCAACCACAAUGAAGAACAAGCCAUUUUGACCUCCAUCCUGGCUCAUCUCCUCUGUGUUCUCAUAGCAUCAUAUUAUAGAAUGGAUCACAAACGCCUUUGCAGUUGCCUAUUUAUUUGUCCAUUUCUCCCUCCAGACUGCCUUUGUGAGAAAAACACCCAAAUGCCACAAGUGCAUCCCCAGGGAGGUGCAGGGUGGCAGGAGCUGAGGAUGCAAAAACAUAAUUGCUUUCUAUCUACUCUGAUUUGAGCUUCAUCAAAUCCUUUGGCUCCCAAGGCAUUCUGCAGCAGAUGUGUGCACAAUAUUCCAGCACUAGGACUUGUGUCUGCGGGUACUGCUCGAGGCCCAAGAGUCUGAGGGUCUGCAAAGCCUCCAAGCCCUUCCCCUUCCUCCCAGGCCUCAGGGCCUGUGCUGGCCACCCUCCUAUACAGCCCUUACUUGGCAUUCUUGCUAAGUCCUGUGGGGGCUCCAUCCUUGACUCUUUUCAUUCCACGCUGAUGUCUUCUGGGCUCUGCGCCUCAGGGGAGAACUUGCAAUGCUAGUAAUAAACAAAGAGUACUCAUGAUAAAAAAAAAAAAAAA